GCGGCUUUAAGGACCAAACACUUGUGUGUCAGUUUGAAAUCUGCUGGAGGGAACAGCCAAGGUUUUUAAAGCAUUCAGACCAUUCAGUAAACAUUAUUAGGCCCCAAAGGUAAUUUAAAACCACAGCUGUUAAAACCAUAUGUGGGGUAUAUAUAUACUUCUUUUAAAUGUUGGUUUACAGUUCUGAGUUGCUCUGUUUCUUGAGGGUUGUCUUCACCAGGAAACCACCUUCGUUUUAAAAGGAAGGGACUGAUGGACUUCAAGUGACUGGGAUGCAAAAAAAAAGAGAAAGAAAACGAACCAAACCCUUAUCUGUUCUUUAAUUGAUGGCCUAGACUUUAAGUGGGUAACUGGAAGCGUGAUGGAAAGAGAACAAUCUCUUGAAUGAGACGCUGCACUCUGGCCUGUGGGUUACUGAGCUUAUAAAUGUUGCUUCAUUUUGGGUUCCUCAUUUCCAUUUACAGCCUUAUGGGGGAUUUAAUGGUGGCAGACAACCCAUCUGGAGAGGCCUACAAAACACAGGCUGUAAUCCUAAACCCAGUUUUAGGGAAUCAAGUCCCAUUGGGCACUAUAGGACUCACUGGAGGAGAGUGUUGCUUGCAACUCUCAUGGGUUGCAGCGACUGAGGAUGUAGUGUAUAUUGUGGUGGGGGUCAGACUGUGGAGACUGGGGUUCAAAUCCCUGCUCAGCCAUGGAGUUUACUUGGGCAAGUCAACCUCUGCUUAACCUAGAAAGGUAAUGGUAAAGGAUCCCUGACAGUUAAGUCCAGUUGCAGACAACUCUAGGGUUGUGGCACUCAUCUCACUUUACAGGCCGAGGGAGCCGGCGUUUGUCCACAGACAGUUUUUCCGGGGGGCCAACAUGACUAAGCCACUUCUGGUGCAACGGAACACAGAAACCAGAGCAGCGCGCGGAAACGCCGUUUACCUUCCCGCCGGAGCGGUACCUAUUUAUCUACUUGCACUUUGACAUGCUUUCGAACUGCUAGGUUGGCAGGAGCUGGGACCAAGCAACGGGAGCUCACCCCGUUGCGGGGAUUCGAACCGCCGACCUUCUGAUUGCCAAACCCAAGAGGCUCAGUGGUUUAGACCACAGCACCACCCACGUCCCCUGCUUAACCUACCUAACGGAAUUGUUGUGAUUUCCCCCCCUUUAAGUUUCCCAUGUUGCUAUAUGUCACCUAGGGCGAUUUUUCAUUAAAACCAGGCGACUGAUAAAGGGCAGCAAUAAAUACACAACAGCAGAAAAAAUGGCACAGGAGAGGAAAAAGAGGAAGGUGGAAACCAUUUUCAGCAUGCUCAAAUGGGGAAAUGAAGCUAGUGUGUGUCUUCUGAAUCAAGCAUGUGAUGGAUUAGAGAAGGGAAAGCCCACAGACACAUGACCCAAAUCACAUUCAGGCAUACGCUGAUGUAUGGGGUGGGAAUAGGCAGUGCCGGAUUUACGUGUAAGCUAACCAAGCUAUAGCUUAGGGGCCACUCUCUUGGGGGCCCCAAAAAAAUUUAAAAGGAAAAAAAAGUGGAUGUACAUUUCCAAAAUAGAAGAUAAAUAACAAAUAAAAUAAAACCUACAUAUAGCAACAGUGUUUUGUGUUGUGUAGGCUCCUAUGAUGUAGGUCAUGGGCCCCGCCUGCUAGCCUGCUCCCUAAAAUAUCACUGGUUUGCUCCUUUCUGUAUAUAGGGUGCCUCCAUUCUGCAUGGACUACUUGCAUGGCAACGUGUGCAAAUGGCUUGAGAUACCUAUUAGGUCCAUAAAUUACCAUAUAGCAUAUAUUCAGCAAACAAAACCAGGGACCAUUUCUUGUUGACAAAGGACAGCUGGUCAUAUAAAGGGCCCCAUUACCUUCAGUAGCUUAGGGCCUCAUCAGACCUAAAUCCAGCCCUGGGGAUAGGUGAUGUGAUAGUUAUCUUCAAUCAUUUGAAAGGUUGUCGCAUGGAAAAUGGAGCGAGCCUCUUGCUGCUCCAGAGGAUGGUACCCAAACCUACGGAUACAAGUUACAAGAAAGGAGAUUCUGACUAAACAUUAGGAAGAACGUUCUGGUGGUAAGAGCUGUUUAGCAGGGGAAACGGUCUCCCUUGGCAGGUGGUGGACUCUCCUUCCUUGAAGUUUGUUACAUUGAGGUUGGGAGGCCCUCUGUCAUGGAUUCUUUAGCUGUGAUUUCUGCAUUGGACAAGAUGACCCUUGGGAAUUGUAGCCCAAAACAUCAGGAAGGCCACCAGGUUGGGAGGAGGCUGACAUCGACACUUCAGUUUUCUGGAUCUGAUCAUGACACCCUUGAAGACCAGGAUUGCUCAGUCAGUAGAGCGUGAGAUUCUGAAUCUCAAGAUUGUGGGUUUGAGCCCCACGUUGGACAAAAUAUUCCUGCACUACAGGGGGUUGGACAAGAUAGAUAGAUAAAUAAAUAAAUGAAUACAUUUUUAUUUAUACCCCGCCCUUCCCAGUUCAGAAAACCAGGCUCAGGGUGGCUAACAACAAAUUUAAAACACUUAAUUGAUGCAACAAAAAAAAACAGCAUAAAAUACAGUAUAAAAUGUGAAUAACAAUAAAUUCAGAAUUCAAAAAUCAAUUUAAGGGGGGAAUCCAUCCAAUAAACAUUAGAUGAUCACCAGGGCUAGCUGGCUAGAUUAGUCCUAUUUGGGCCAGCGAGGAGACCAGGGGAGAAUUAGCUGUGGGAUCCCAGAGCGGGUAAUCUUCAUAAAAAGGAGAGGGGGAAGGAAGGAAGGGGAAUAAAAGAUCAGGCUAAGUUCAAAUUGAAAGCCGGGUGGAAUAGCUCUGUCUUACAGGCCCUGCGGAAGUUAAAUCCUGCAGAGCGCUGGUCUCAUGGGACAGAGCAUUCCACCAGGUCGGAGCCAUCACUGAGAAGGCCCUGGCCCUGGUGGCGGAUAAUCUGACUUCCUUAGAGCCUGGGACCUCUAAACUAUGAUUAUUCAUGGACCUUAAGGUCCUCUGCAGGGCAUACCAGGAGAGGCGGUCCCGUAAAUACGAGGGCCCUAAGCCACAAAGGGGUUUAAAGGUGAUCCACGUGGUCCCUCUCAACUAUGAUCCCAUUCUACGAUCUCAGUGCGUGGAAAGCAUUGUACGUGAAAUAACACAAAAAUACCUUCUGCAAUGGUAGAGCUAGAGGUGACCGGGACACUCAUGCGAAUUACCACUUGAUGCUCCAUCCGCAAUAUGUGAGCACCAGCAGUCUUUAGUCGAGAGACUGUUAGGGAUUGCUAAUAGUCCCCCAAGCUUCUGUGAUUACAUCCACAUAUACAAACAGCAGACCACAGUGUAAUCAUAGCUCUAAUUAAAGUUUUGGUUAGCGAACAUUUUCCAGGCUUGAAAUAUCUCCACCUGCCGCAGCUAUUGAGGAACAUGUGUAAAUCUCUGAAAAUGAGGUUGUUGUGCUUUUUGUUUUCUAAGUGCUUUUUGGCAUAGACAUUUUAUUGCGUAUGAAGUUUUAUUAGUAGCGGUAUAAUAAAGAUGUGGCUUGCAUGGGAAUGGGACCAGGUUUUCCUCAUUAAGAGAGUGCCCUUGUUAAUUUGCUGACAUCAUCAGCUCAGCCAUCAGUUUCCAUUUCCAUUCUGCAUUAAGGAACUUCGAUGGAGAGGCGAUGGGAGAGUCGGUGGCUGCUUUGCAUAUGGGCGGGGCCAGAGUGGCAGUCAAGGGCGGAGUCUAUAGAAAAGUGGUUGUUCAGUGUGGGACCUGUGUCUUCAUUUAAACCGAAGUUUAUUCCAUUGUUCCGGCAUUUCCCUGUCUGCAAAUUUCUGCAUUAAGUUUUGACCUUUCACACAACGGAAAAAAAUCUGCUUCUGAAAAACCAAUGGAAUGUAAGUCGUGUUUAGCGCUCAUUUUUGUGUCAUUUGACUCCAUAAAAAAUCCAUUUGCAGUCCCAUCUGCCAGAAGAUUAGGGGGGUAAAGUGAUGAAAUUUGAGUAAGUAUACCGGCAUAUGGAUCUUUCCCAAUGUUUUCAUGGGGGGGGGGGGGGACAGAAGCAUUCAUGUGCAGAAAGGGUAGGGCAGCAGCGAUGUUGUCCGAUAGUGUUUGUUGUCGCACCAUCCUACGCCUACUGGUGUGAAUGAAACUUAGCACAGCAUAGCUAAGUUGGUUAGAGCAUGGUGCUGAUUACACCAAGGUCGCAGGUUCGAACCCCAUAAGGACCAGCUGCAUAUUCCUGCAUUUCAGGACUAGAUGAGGCAAUUCCAACCGGUCGAUCACAAUCUACUGGUCAAUUGUGGGGUGUCCCUGGUCGGUUGUGGUUGAUCUUUGGAUCCUGAGAGCCAGCGCGGUGUGGUGGUUAAGAGUGGUGGACUUGUAAUCUGGUGAACCGGGUUCGCUUCUCCGCUCCUCCACAUGCAGCUGCUGGGUGACCUUGGGCCAGUCACACUUCUCUGAAGUCUCUCAGCCCCACUCACCUCACAGAGUGUUUGUUGUGGGGGAGGAAGGGAAAGGAGAAUGUUAGCCGCUUUGAGACUCCUUCGGGUAGUAAUAAAGCGGGAUAUCAAAUCCAAACUCUUCCUGUUCUUCUGAGCGAUCUCAAAAAAGAAGAAGAGCUCAACAACUCUGGUUCUUCCUCCCUAAUAAAAGUUGAAACAACUCCGGCUCCCUAAAAAAAGCUCAACAACUCAGUCCCCCAAUGACAAUGGGUAGAUCACUGCCAGUCUUUUAGUAGAGUAGAUCGCAGUCUCUUGGGAGUUGGACGUGCCUGGACUACAUGAUCUGCAGGCUUCCUUCCAACUCUGUGAUUCUGGGGUUAGUUGCUCUAUGCGGAUGUAUCGGUCAAAAAGCCACAGUUCCAUAACACAACAGGUAUUACAGUGCGCAAGGAACAUUAGAAAACAGGAGAGAAGCACUAGCAUUAUAACCAUGAAAACUAAUGCAAUGUUCCUCACAUCUGAAUGCACCUAGUGUCAGGAGUGGGGCAGGUGCAUUCCCAGCAACAUUUGGGGCAGUGAAAAUCUCCCAUUUCAUAACGUCAUUCAUGGCAAUGAAUGGAUGCCCAUUGCAAAAACAGUAUUAGGACAAGCUUGGACAUUUCAAAGUUGUCAUUAAUGUUUCUUUCAAGGGAUUGUCCCUAGUAAGUAUAUGAGAGAAUACAGGUUGCUCCUUUAUUUAGUUAUUAAAUUAUUAGUGUGUCAGCUGCUUCAGUGCCUUUUGAUUUUAUUUCUUUUUCCCCUCAAAUGUGAACAAUGUAAAGGAAGUACAUUCCGUUGUCGUUAAAUUUUUAUAAUUAUCCCAAUAAAAAUUUCUGCAUGGUUGACACCCAAUGUAAGUCAUAUUUACGUUCCUUCGUCUUGGUGGGUCUACUCUGAGUUUAAACUAAGUAUGCUUUAUUUUCCCCCACCCUCACAUAUUUCAGCUCAAGUACCUGUGCCGUACUGGAAUAAAUAAACAUGAGAUACUUUUUAAAGCUUUAUCUAUUAAACACAAACAAAAUAAGCAUGCAGAAUUAUAUUAUUCUCUUAGGCAUCAUAAUUUAUUUUUGGUACAAAUUACCAUAUGACAAUUAGCCUAAUUUGCAUAGGACAGUUGCCUUGCUAUUUCAUAAGUCAUUUUUAUACAUGAUAUCCAUUGUUUUGGCAUUCCUCUGCUUUUGUUCAUUGCUUUCCCAUAGUUUGGGGAAGUUCUCUGUAUUAGCCUAGCAGCCAUUCAGAGCCUCAUUCUCCAUGACUUUGUCUAAUCUCUGUUUAAAGCCAUCUAAAUUGAUGGCUGUUGUUGUUACAUUUGUACCCCCUCCAUCUGUCUGGGCUGUACCAACCACCGUAAGCAGCUUCCAACAUCUAUAAAACAUAAUAAAGCAUGACACAUUAAAAAUACAGGACUGCCUCCAGAUGUCUUCUAAAUGUUACAUUGUUAAUCAUCUCCUUCUGAUGAGAGGGUGUUCCACAGUGAGGGUGCCACUACCGAGAAGGCCCUCUGCCUGGUUCCCUGUAGCUUCACUUCUCGCAGUGAGGGAACCGCCAGAAGGCCCUCUCCUUGCUUCUCCUUUAUUUAAGAACAUAAGAGGAAGCUGGCUGCUGGAUCAUGCCCAUAGCCAAUCUAGUCCACUAUCCUGUUCUCACGGUGGCAUCUCAAGAUGCCUUCAGGAAGCCCGCAAGCAGGACCUGAGUGCAAGACCACUCUAACCCAUUUGUGACGUCCCCAUAUUCUGGUUCAAAUCCUGACAUCUCCAUUUAGAAGAGAGUCUCCUGUCCCAAACCCUGGAGAGCUGGUGGUGGUCAGGGAAGACAAUACUGAGCUAGAUGGCCAAAAUAUAGAAGUCAGUGUCUAGUGUUAUUAUCUUACCAAAUGGCACAGCAACAUGUUACACAGAUUAUAUUGUGAACGAGAAUAGGAUUUUAAUUCCCUCAGGUGGCGCAAAGGGUCAGUGCAGCUGGCUGUUAACCAGAAGGUUGGUGGUUUGAGCCCACUCAGGGACAGCUGUGGGCAGGAUUCGUGUGUUGCACAGGGUUGGACUAGAUGACCCUCGGGGUCCCUUCGAACUCCACAAUUCCUGUUGAUUCUAAUGUUUCGUCACUGAUACUCCUAAUGAUGCCCUUGCUUACCAUUGAAGGCUGAGCUGCCUAUUCCAAAAUAUAGUCAUAUAGUAUUAAUCCUAGGAAAUUCAGGUCUUCUGCAAAAUGAAAGGAGUGGCUGAUCUUUUAAUGCAACAAAUGGAAAGAAUGUCCCCCAAAUUCAACAGCUCCUGGUUGAACAGAGAGAUUCCAUUUUUAAAAGGAAUCUGACACACAGUUUUUCUGUUAAAAGAAAAAAUCCGUCCAUGAGAAUUCAUCUCCGUUCUAUACAAUGGAUUAGAAAUGAACCACCUUGGAUCUCAAGAGCCAUUCUGACAGCUAAAUGGCUAAUCUUCCUCAAAAUGGAGGUAACUAGCAGUGCCUAAUGCAGAACAAUGGGCUAGUAAUUUCCUACAUCUGACAAAUUUAGAAAAAGGAUUUUGUGCAGGUGUUUGGAUGUGUGCGUUUUAUGAUCCUGUCCUAAAACGGCACCGAGGAGAUCAAAGCCAUCACGGGAAGAAAUACGAUAAGACUAAAUACCCUGAAACAGGAGUAUUUUACCUUCUCUAUCCUAAUUGCACAUGCAAUGCAAGUGGCAGUAAAUUCUUAAGAUGGAGAGGGAUGUUUUGAAUUUCUGCAGCUUAUGUGGGGUAGCUGGGAACGGAUAGCUUUCAACUAUCAGAGUGAUGCAGUUGCAUGUGAAGCAAAGAGGGAAGCUCUGGCAUAAAGAAUGUCAUCAUUAAGGUGAAUGGAAACCAGGCUUGUUGUAGAAAGUGCCAUGCAUUUUUUAUACCCAUUUUACAGAUGGGUUCGUCAAGGCCGACUCCUAUGUUACAACUAUGGUUCUUUUCUUAGGACCCCCUUAGGAUCCAGAGAGCUCCAGAGCUGCGAUUUCUGCCCUCGUUAGAUAUAUAAUCAUAUGACGAUGCUCUAGAUAGAAAAACAACAACCCCUGACUUUUAUGAUGUGUGAAACUUGAGUGGAGUCAUGGACAGUUCUGCAAGUGGAGCCUGAGUUGGGUCAGAGGAUAUCCUUAUCAGAUGGAUCAGAUCUGGAAGGGAAGCCUAAAGAGUCAAAAGCAGGAAUGGCCAAACUUGGCCCUCCAGCUGUUUUGGGGGACAAAUCCCAUCAUCCCUAGCUAACAGGACCAGUGGUCAGGGAUGAUGGGAAUUGUAGUCCCAAAACAGCUGGAGGGCUGUUUGGCCAUGCCUGGUCAAGAGUAUGAGAGGACCCUCCAGAUGUGCUUUUUAUUGUGUACUAUCGGGGACUUGGUGCUGCCUGGGAAUUUUUAGAAACAAAAAAAAAUAUAUUGUGAUUAUUAAAUGGACCUGUCUUGCCAAAAAUCAGGUGAAGUCAUGCCAAAGUCACAUUUUGGUCCGCCAUCUUGAUACAAAAUGGUACCUGGUAUCCAAACAUCGAUGAAGACUGCCACUCCCACCCUGGGAACUUUCAUGCCUUGUUUGGUGACCAUAUCUAAAGAGGUGGAUGACCCUAAGCC
Molecule: non-coding RNA, 7971 nt
Organism: Podarcis lilfordi (Lilford's wall lizard)
Lineage: Eukaryota; Metazoa; Chordata; Lepidosauria; Squamata; Lacertidae
Source: the annotation of a GenBank genome assembly